RNAcentral lists this long non-coding RNA (5071 nucleotides) under Solanum tuberosum (potato). Its description in RNAcentral is "long non-coding RNA (STUB_LNC009500)". The record is from RNAcentral. Lineage: Eukaryota; Viridiplantae; Streptophyta; Magnoliopsida; Solanales; Solanaceae.
UUUUGUAACAAGAGGAACUUUGUAUUAAAGAUGAACUAGUUGCAGGUCACAAGAGGGACCUGUUCCUCUUCUUCUGGGAAUAACAAGAAGCAAAACAAAGGAAAAAGGAAGAAAAGGGAGGUUCUAGAUCUAUUCUAAGCAACUAAAAGAAAAGCAAGUUCAUCCAUGCCUUCUUUAGUGAAAUCUGCCACUACUUAUACUACUCUAGUAGCUAUUACUCAUGCUCUUUUGCUAUCAGAGUCUGUUUCCCUUUUGCAUCUGGGACCACGUAGUGGUCCAGGUAUUGUGGCACUCGUUUGUACCUGGUACUACGCCUGUUGUUGUCCAACUUGUCCUGCGGAGUCAUUACAUUGCCGCCCUCAUGGAGAAGAACCUUGUCCUCAAGGUUCAAGUGAGGAAACUGCUGCAAGAGGGUAUAUGAGUCCUCCCAAGUUGCAUCUUCAAUAGGCAAACCUACCCAUUUGACAAAGCAUUGAGGCACCUUAUGUGCCCCUUUGGUAACAUCUCUCGUCUUUAAAACAGCUUCAGGUGUAAGUGUGACAGAGGGAGUUUGGUCCAACAAUUCAAUAGGUGUAAUCUGAUUAGUUGGUUUGCCGAUACACUUACGUAACACUGAAACAUGGAACACAGGAUGGAUUCGAGAAGAAGGUGGCAGAUCGAGUUUAUAAGCCACAUCACCAAUGCGUUGAAUGAUCUGAAAGGGUCCAAAGAAACGCCUGCUCAAUUUGGAAUGGCGUUGCAGACGAACUGAAAGUUGUCUAUAUGGUCGAAGACGGACAUACACCCAAUCACCAAUAUCAAAGAUCACCUCCCUACGACCUUUGUCAGCUUGAAACUUCAUCCUAUCUUGAGCCUGCAGUAAAUUAGACUUCAACACAGCCAAUGUUUCAUCGCGUUGUCGCAAAGAACCCGAAACUGUAGGAUUGGAAGUGCUGUCUAACACAAAACGAGAGACAAUAGGAGGAGGCCGGCCAUAGACUGCCUCAAAAGGAGUCAUCUUGGAGCUGUGUUGGUAUGAAGUAUUGUACCAAAAUUCUGCCCAGGGAAGAAGAGGGACCCAUGUAGAAGGAGUAUCUGUAGCAAAACAACGGAGAUACAUUUCAAGGCAUUUGUUCAGUGACUCUGUUUGGCCAUCCGUUUGUGGAUGAUAAGCAGAACUCUUGGCCAAAUGAGUUCCCUGGAGUUUGUUAAUUUCCGUCCAAAAUUCAGAGAUGAAAAUGGGAUCGCGGUCAGAUACGAUUUUGGUAGGAAAACCAUGUAACCGGACAAAUUCUUGGACAAAGACUUCUGCUACUUUUUGACUGGUAAAAUUUGCAGAUAGAGCAAUAAAAUGUCCAUACUUCGACAAUCUAUCUACAAUCACCAAGAUCACAGUGCGCCCCUGAGAUGAUGGAAGGCCUGUAAUAAAGUCCAUGGAAAUUUCAGCAAAAAUCUCAGAAGGAAUCGGCAAGGGAGACAGUAAUCCCGCAGGUUUCAGUUGUGAAUCCUUCAUCUGCUGACAAAUUUGACAUUCAGAGACGAACUUCUUGACAUCAGAUCGCAUGCCAACCCAAUAAAAAUUUGAAGACAGUCGGUGAAAUGUGCGAGCGACGCCUGCAUGACCUCCAAUUUUGGAAGCAUGAAAUUCUUCCAAUAGCAUUAGACGCAAAGAUGCAUCCUUGGGAAUAACCAGGCGAUUCUUGAAUAACAGGAGACCUUCCUGAAAGGAGAAUGAGGACAUAAAAUCUGGAGUAUUCAACAAUUUCUGUUGGAGAGCUAAUAAUUCCUCAUUGGAUUUGUUCAACGCCUUAAGCUUGUCAACCAAAGCUAUUUCAGUGAUGGCCAAAGAUAACGCAAAACAGGCAGGGACGCGAGAUAAAGCAUCGGCAGCAGAAUUUAAUUUGCCUGGGCUAAAGCGUAUCUCAAAAUCAUACCCAAUUAAUUUGCUAAGCCAACGUUGUUGUUCAGGGGUCUGGAUAACCUAACUUGUGUUGCUAAGCCAACGUUGUUGUUCAGGGGUCUGGAUAACCUGACUUGUAAGGGCUUUCAAAGGUUGCUGAUCAGUUAAAAUGGUAAAACGACGGCCCAAUAAGUAUUGGCGCCACUUUUGAACAGCCUGCGUGAUGGCAAACAUUUCACGAUUGUAAGUAGAAGCAGCUUGCAUCCUUGAAGAUAAUUUUUGGCUGAAGAAUGCGAUUGGGUGACUGUCUUGGCAAAGAACCGCACCAAUGCCAGUACCUGAUGCAUCUGUUUCUACCACAAAAUCCUUGGAAAAAUCAGGCAAGAAUAAAACAGGGACGGAGCCAAGAGCCUCUUUCAAUUUGGCAAAAGCAACAGAAGCCUUAUCGGACCAUACAAAUGAGUCCUUUUUCAGAAGAUCAGUGAGGGGUGAAGCUAACUGGGCAUAUCCUUUGACAAAACGACGAUAGUACCCCGUUAAACCCAAAAAGGCACGGACAUCCUUUACAGAUGAAGGCAAAGGCCAAGAAACGAUAGCAGUAAUCUUCUCAGGGUCAACUUGUAAGCCUUUUUCAGAGAGAAUAUGACCCAAGUAAGAAAUGGAAGACUGCCCAAAUUGGCAUUUUGAUUGCUUCACCACCAAAGAAUUUUGUCGGAGAAGAUCAAAGAUUGAUCUAAGGUGUUGUAAGUGAUCUUGCCAAGACGUGCUAUAAACUAGGAUGUCAUCGAAGAAAACAAGGACAAAUUGGAGUAGAAAUGGCUUAAAAAUGGAAUUCAUGGUUGAUUGAAAAGUAGAUGGAGCAUUCGAAAGACCAAAUGGCAUCACAGUAAAUUCAUAAUGGCCUUCAUGAGUUCGAAAUGCGGUCUUUUUGAUAUCUGGGGGAUGGAGGCGAAUUUGAUGGUAUCCGGCUAAUAAGUCCAACUUAGAGAAUACACAAGCAUUGUGCAAUUCAUCAAAAAGCUCAUCGACGGUUGGGAUUGGAAAUCUAUCCUUAACAGUGAUAGCAUUAAGAGCCCUGUAAUCCACACAAAAGCGCCAAGUACCAUCCUUCUUACGCACUAACAACACUGGUGAAGAAUAUGGACUCGAGCUGGGACGAAUAACUCCCGACUUGAGCAUCUCAGAAACAAGCUUUUCAAUUUCAGCUUUUUGGAAGUGGGGGUAACGAUAUGGCCGGACAUUUACAGGAUUAGCUCCUGGCAAGAGGGGAAUGCGAUGAUCUUGUGGUCGUUGAGGUGGUAAAGAGGACGGGUGAUGAAAAAUCUCUGGAAAAGAAUUUAGAAGAGUGGCUAAGUCAGGGGGGUGAUGGCAUGGUGAUAUGAGGGUAGAAGAUUGAAGAUCUAGACGGAGAAAAUAUGAAAUAGAAUCUGUCUUAGUGAAGCGCCUGAGAGUGGACAUAUUAAUUUGGGCAGGAGAGGGGGCAGGAUCACCUUGCCAUCGGUGAUGUUUCCCGUCCAGUGUAAACUCAAAAGUACGAUUGACAUAGUCCGUCAAACAUGGACCUAAUGUGGCCAACCAAGUAACUCCAAGGACCAAAUCCGAACCAUGCAUGUCAAUAAUAAAGAAGUCUGUGACAAAGGAGAAGCCCUGAAUGGUGAGUGCUACACCACGAACGACACCUAAACAUCGCUUGGCCAUUUUCGACCAUAACUAUGGGGGUGGAGACAAGUCAUAAGGAGAGUCCUCUGUAGUAUCAUCAUCGGCAAGAAGUAAAAAGAGUUGAGGGAUGGAUGAACAUUUAUGACCCUUGUGAUAUUUUUCAUCACAAUUGAAACAAAGGUUAAGUUCACGUUUUCGUUGAAGCUCUGUCGGUGUUAGCUUCCUGAAUGAUGUACGACCAACACCUGGAAUAGAUGCAGUCGGGGCUGAGGAGCUUGAAGAAAGGGUCGGAUUUUUAGGGCUAGGAGAGGUGUGGAAAGAAAAUGGGCUGGCAGGAAUUUUUGACGGAUAGUUGGGCCGGGUCAUCGUCCCAGCUUGGGCCAACUUUUUUUGCUCUUGCAAAAAGGCCAGACUAAUUGCUUCAUUGAGGUCCGCGGGUCGAAAAGCCAGAACAUCUGAUUUAAUAUCAGGGUGAAGUCCAGAGGUAAAAAAAUGCUUCAUUAAAGGCGGCGAUACAUCAGAGGUACGAUUGGCCAGUUUCUCAAAUUGAGAAAGAUAGUCACGAACGGAGGUUUGCAUCUGUAGUUUUGCCAACAAGCUUUCUGGUGCCUCCAUUGAUUUAGACCCAAAACGAGUAGCAAGAGCCCUAAGGAAGUGGUCCCAUCCACAGAGUUGGCGAUUUCGGUAUAUCCACUGAUACCAAUCUCGUGCAUCUCCCUCUAGAAAGAAAGAGCAUACAUUCAAGCGUUGCUCAUCUGGAACAGUGUAAGUGUCAAAAUACUGAUGAGCUUGGAAAGCCCAACUCUCUGCGUUGGUUCCAUCAAACUUAGCCAAGUCAAUCGGUGCCGGUUUAUCACGUCGAAAUGGAUUAAGGCCAUGGGGUGGAACUGGAAGCACCUGGUGUACUGGGGGUUGCCGAUUCAGUGUGGGUGGUGGGGGAGUAUGCUGAUAAAAAGUUUGUGGAAGUGGCACAGAUGAUUGACCCAAAACUGAAGAAGGGCUACCAGCGACUAGAGAUGGCGCUGGCGACGAAGGACGCAACGAAGCCAGUUGAGUUACAAUAUCUUGUAAGGCAGUGUUGAUGGACUCCACGGCUUUAGCAUGGCCAACAGAUUGUUCUUGAAGUUGUUUCACAGCCUCAUCAAGAGAUUUGAGGCGAGUAUUGUGUGCACCAUCACCCAUGGUAGAAGGAGGGACAAUGAAAGCACCAAAUGUAACAAGAGGAACUUUGUAUUAAAGAUGAACUAGUUGCAGGUCACAAGAGGGACCUGUUCCUCUUCUUCUGGGAAUAACAAGAAGCAAAACAAAGGAAAAAGGAAGAAAAGGGAGGUUCCAGAUCUAUUCUAAGCAACUAAAAGAAAAGCAAGUUCAUCCAUGCCUUCUUUAGUGAAAUCUGCCACUACUUAUACUACUCUAGUAGCUAUUACUCAUGCUCUUUUGCUAUCAGAGUGUGUUUCCCUUUUGCAUCUGGGACCACGUAGUGGUCCAGGUAUUGUGGCACUCGUUUGUACCUGGUACUACGCCUGUUGUUGU